This 253-nucleotide ribosomal RNA is filed under the name uncultured bacterium. RNAcentral's name for it is "partial 16S ribosomal RNA". It matches the Rfam family "Bacterial small subunit ribosomal RNA", at positions 524 to 776 of the family's 1533-position model. The record is from RNAcentral.
UACGUAGGGUGCAAGCGUUAAUCGGAUUUACUGGGCGUAAAGCGCGCGUAGGUGGCCAAUUAAGUCAAAUGUGAAAUCCCCGAGCUUAACUUGGGAAUUGCAUUCGAUACUGGUUGGCUAGAGUAUGGGAGAGGAUGGUAGAAUUCCAGGUGUAGCGGUGAAAUGCGUAGAGAUCUGGAGGAAUACCGAUGGCGAAGGCAGCCAUCUGGCCUAAUACUGACACUGAGGUGCGAAAGCGUGGGGAGCAAACAGG